Molecule: long non-coding RNA, 217 nt
Filed under: Theobroma cacao (cacao)
Lineage: Eukaryota; Viridiplantae; Streptophyta; Magnoliopsida; Malvales; Malvaceae
Description: long non-coding RNA (TCAC_LNC006030)
Source: RNAcentral
CGAAAUCCGGAUAUAUAUAUAUAUGUACCUCGGUCGGAGAGGCGCGUAGGGUAUCUCCUGAGGUAUGGACAGAGUUCACGUCACGCCGAACCACCUCGUGAUGAUGAACUCCACUAACGCCAAGGAAUGGCUGUGUUUUUCAAACUAAAAAUAUGUUUUACGAGUAUACAAAAUUUUAACAGCCUUGGCGGGCUCGAGUGUAUGCCUCUGAUCAAGG